This 539-nucleotide ribosomal RNA is filed under the name Serratia marcescens. RNAcentral's name for it is "partial 23S ribosomal RNA". It matches the Rfam family "Bacterial large subunit ribosomal RNA", at positions 1235 to 1770 of the family's 2925-position model. Lineage: Bacteria; Pseudomonadati; Pseudomonadota; Gammaproteobacteria; Enterobacterales; Yersiniaceae. The record is from RNAcentral.
AGCGUUCUGUAAGCCGUUGAAGGUGGCCUGUGAGGGUUGCUGGAGGUAUCAGAAGUGCGAAUGCUGACAUAAGUAACGAUAAAGCGGGUGAAAAGCCCGCUCGCCGGAAGACCAAGGGUUCCUGUCCAACGUUAAUCGGGGCAGGGUGAGUCGACCCCUAAGGCGAGGCUGAAAAGCGUAGUCGAUGGGAAACAGGUUAAUAUUCCUGUACUUGGUGUUACUGCGAAGGGGGGACGGAGAAGGCUAGGCUAGCCGGGCGACGGUUGUCCCGGUUUAAGCGUGUAGGGGGUGUGACCUGGUAAAUCCGGUUGCAUAUCAACCCUGAGGCGUGAUGACGAUGCACUACGGUGCAGAAGUAGUUGAUGCCCUGCUUCCAGGAAAAGCCUCUAAGCUCUAGGUAACAUUAAAUCGUACCCCAAACCGACACAGGUGGUCAGGUAGAGAAUACCAAGGCGCUUGAGAGAACUCGGGUGAAGGAACUAGGCAAAAUGGUGCCGUAACUUCGGGAGAAGGCACGCUGGCAUGUAGGUGAAGUCCUU